AUACCCUGUAGCUCCGGGCUUUUGUUUGGUUUCUAAUAAUCAGAAGCUCGUUUCUACAGGUAUCU
Molecule: microRNA precursor, 65 nt
Filed under: Daphnia pulex (common water flea)
Lineage: Eukaryota; Metazoa; Arthropoda; Branchiopoda; Diplostraca; Daphniidae
Description: Dpu-Mir-10-P4_pre stem-loop
Source: RNAcentral